Long non-coding RNA from Pipra filicauda (Wire-tailed manakin), 282 nucleotides. RefSeq lists it as uncharacterized. The transcript is spliced from 3 exons. NCBI's taxonomy places the organism in Eukaryota, Metazoa, Chordata, Aves, Passeriformes, Pipridae. The record is from RefSeq and is a predicted model, not a curated record.
UCCAAAGAUUCAGAUGACUGGUUGGGUAAAAGUCCUUCAGCAAAAUUCUGUGCUGUUCGUGCCAGAUGUGUGGAGGAAUUGAUUUGGUCACUGUAAGCAAAAUAGCUGCUCUUGGUUGAAGGGCUUGGUCUGUGUAGAACAGCAGAUUUCUUGCCAGGUUUCUCCUUCCAGCUCUUCCUCAAAACUCUUCCUGUGCCAUCCACUGACGCCUUUCUAGCCCCCAGUCAUCUGCUCGAAUCUCUAAAACAUGUGACUCAUGUUCCAUUUUUAUAUUCAUCUUCA